RNAcentral lists this ribosomal RNA (253 nucleotides) under uncultured bacterium. RNAcentral's name for it is "partial 16S ribosomal RNA". It matches the Rfam family "Bacterial small subunit ribosomal RNA", at positions 524 to 776 of the family's 1533-position model. The record is from RNAcentral.
UACAGAGGGUGCGAGCGUUAAUCGGAAUUACUGGGCGUAAAGCGCGCGUAGGCGGUUUUGUAAGUCGGGUGUGAAAUCCCCAAGCUUAACUUGGGAACUGCAUUCGAGACUGCAUAGCUAGAGUAUGGGAGAGGGAAGUGGAAUUUCCGGUGUAGCGGUGAAAUGCGUAGAUAUCGGAAGGAACAUCAGUGGCGAAGGCGACUUCCUGGACCAAUACUGACGCUCAGGUGCGAAAGCGUGGGGAGCAAACAGG